This 302-nucleotide ribosomal RNA is filed under the name uncultured bacterium. RNAcentral's name for it is "partial 16S ribosomal RNA". It matches the Rfam family "Bacterial small subunit ribosomal RNA", at positions 508 to 807 of the family's 1533-position model. The record is from RNAcentral.
GCAGUAGCCGCGGUAAUACAGAGGGUGCGAGCGUUAAUCGGAUUUACUGGGCAUAAAGCGUGCGUAGGCGGCUUCUUAAGUCGGAUGUGAAAUCCCUGAGCUUAACUUAGGAAUUGCAUUCGAUACUGGGAAGCUAGAGUAUGGGAGAGGAUGGUAGAAUUCCAGGUGUAGCGGUGAAAUGCGUAGAGAUCUGGAGGAAUACCGAUGGCGAAGGCAGCCAUCUGGCCUAAUACUGACGCUGAGGUACGAAAGCAUGGGGAGCAAACAGGAUUAGAUACCCCGGUAGUCCCUGUCUCUUAUAC